RNAcentral lists this ribosomal RNA (253 nucleotides) under uncultured bacterium. RNAcentral's name for it is "partial 16S ribosomal RNA". It matches the Rfam family "Bacterial small subunit ribosomal RNA", at positions 524 to 776 of the family's 1533-position model. The record is from RNAcentral.
UACGUAGGGGGCAAGCGUUGUCCGGAUUUAUUGGGCGUAAAGAGCGUGUAGGCGGUUUGGUAGGUCCGCUGUGAAAACUCGAGGCUCAACCUCGAGACGCCGGUGGAAACCAUCAGACUAGAGUCCGGAAGAGGAGAGCGGAAUUCCUGGUGUAGCGGUGAAAUGCGCAGAUAUCAGGAAGAACACCCGUGGCGAAGGCGGGUCUCUGGGCAACAACUGACGCUGAGGAGCGAAAGCGUGGGGAGCGAACAGG